CUGAAAGGGCCCAUGCUCGAGACAAAGGCGGGGCCGUGUGCAAACAGCUUUCCACCUGCAUUCCUUCGCUCAGGCUGCUGUAACCAGUAUCACAGACAGGAGCAAAACUAAAAACCUGUGUCAGCGAGUCACUCACUGCUGCCGUGUCCCCCAGCUCGUUGAUCUCAGGUUGACCCAGAAGCUCAGCGUCACUGCGAGGAGACAGGCUCUGGGAGGAUGUGCGUGAGCUGCACGACCUUGAGCAAGCAGAUGAAGCUCCCUGAGCCUCGGUUUCCUCAUCCGUGGAAUGGAGAGAAUGCGCUACUGACUUCACGAGGCUUAAAAGAUGAUGCACCCCCAGGGCCUGGCACACGGGCAACGCACGUUACACAGCGGCACCUCUCCUCAUCACUCAACCAGUGAGGCGACUUCUCUCCCUGCGUGUCCCCCCACCCCGGGCUGGGCUUGGCUCAGGAGUGGGGGAGCAGGGGGUCCUCUGGGCUCAGCCUAAUGGGGGAUCCUGGGCUGGCUGGGGUUGAUGCAGGAACCCAAAUAGGACAUGAAAAGAGAGAAAGGUGACCUAGGGGACUGUUUCUCAAACUUGUUUUUACUGCCCCCACGGCGAGAAAGACAUCUUGCCCUGUGAUUCCACAUAAACGUGCAUAUAUGCGUAAAAUGGAAACGAAAGUUCCGUGAAACAGUA
Non-coding RNA from Equus caballus (horse), 682 nucleotides. NCBI's taxonomy places the organism in Eukaryota, Metazoa, Chordata, Mammalia, Perissodactyla, Equidae. The record is from RefSeq and is a predicted model, not a curated record.